RNAcentral lists this ribosomal RNA (253 nucleotides) under uncultured bacterium. RNAcentral describes it as "partial 16S ribosomal RNA". It matches the Rfam family "Bacterial small subunit ribosomal RNA", at positions 524 to 776 of the family's 1533-position model. The record is from RNAcentral.
UACGAAGGGUGCAAACGUUGCUCGGAAUUAUUGGGCGUAAAGCGCACGUAGGCGGCUUAGCAAGUCGGAUGUGAAAUCCCUCGGCUCAACCAAGGAAGUGCAUCCGAAACUGCUGAGCUUGAGUACGAAAGAGGAUCGCGGAAUUCCCGGUGUAGAGGUGAAAUUCGUAGAUAUCAGGAGGAACACCUGUGGUGUAGACAGCUUACUGGACCACGACUGACGCUGAGACACGAAAGCGUGGGUAGCAAACAGG